UGCGUAGGCGGUUUGUUAAGUCACUUGUAAAAGAUCUCAGCCCAACUGAGUAAGGCGAGUGAAACUGGCAGACUUGAAUACGGUAGAGGUAAGUGGAAUUCCAUGUGUAGCGGUGGAAUGCGUAGAUAUAUGGAGGAACACCAAUGGCGAAGGCAACUUACUGGGCCGGAAUUGACGCUGAGGCACGAAAGCGUGGGGAGCAAACAGGAUUAGAUACCCUGGUAGUC
This 227-nucleotide ribosomal RNA is filed under the name uncultured bacterium. RNAcentral's name for it is "partial 16S ribosomal RNA". It matches the Rfam family "Bacterial small subunit ribosomal RNA", at positions 568 to 795 of the family's 1533-position model. The record is from RNAcentral.